Molecule: long non-coding RNA, 824 nt
Organism: Bufo gargarizans (Asiatic toad)
Lineage: Eukaryota; Metazoa; Chordata; Amphibia; Anura; Bufonidae
Exons: 4
Source: RefSeq, a predicted model, not a curated record
CAGGGAAUCAACCAACAUAGCUGUUUUAUAAUGGAAAAGUUCUACAUUCACGUGUGUGCAUUUAUUGCCAUCUGUAAAGUACUAGAGGAGAAGGACAUGUGUGGUGCAUCUGAGACCAGCGGAGCAGAGAUGAACUGCAUUAUGGCUGACGGGGGUGAGACUGACCACUGAGAAAAGCGUGCGGACAAAGUCAUGCAAGGCAUGGGAGCACUUCACUCAACAUUCAUCCAACAAGUUGGUUGUCUGCAAAAUCUGUAACGCAGCGCUGGCGUGGCACGGAAGCACAACCGUGAUGAACGAGCACAUGAGAAGGAAACAUGUUGGCGUCACAGAGGAAGGAAUAGCCCCUAAGAGGCAGCGCUCCACGACUGGAUUUGUGCAUGUAAAUCCUCAAUGUACACCAGCACAAGCUUCUGUUCUCACAGAUUCUGUAUUAGAAAUGUUAGUCACUGACAUGCGACCACUGUCCAUGGUCGUGGUCGAAGACAAAGGAUUCCACAGCAUGGUCAGUGCACUAAAUACUUCAGACAAGCUUCCAUCAAGAACCCAUUUCACCACACUAAUGGAGAGGAAGUACAAGGAGACCUUUCAGCAUGUGACGGAUACCAUUCACCAUGAGAGCAGAAUAGAGAUGACUGCAGACAUAUGGACCAGCGUAGCAACUGAGGCUUACCUUGUUUUACAUGCCACCACAUAGGGGAUGAUUGUAUAACUAUCUUUAUCAUCUGAUACUUCCAAAGUGUCUGGAGCACUUAGAGAAACGUCCCCAGAGUCAGAAGUGUCAAGUCCAUCUUUGGACCAUGAUGGAGUACCUGCAAACUCUG